UGCAGAAGGAUCAUUAGUGAAGAUUUGGGCAGCCCAUACGGACCCCAAAAAGUGUCCCUGGCCGCCUACACCCACUAUACAUCCACAAACCGGUGUGCACUGUUUUGGAGAAAGGUUCAGAGAAGUUUUGUGUGGCCUCUCGGGGGUCUUUUUUGGUUACAAACUGGAAUGGUUAGUAUGAACGUGGAACUUGGUUGGACGGUCACUGGCCAACAAACUAUACACAACUUUGGACAACGGAUCUCUGGGUUCUCCCAU
This 258-nucleotide unclassified non-coding RNA is filed under the name uncultured fungus. RNAcentral describes it as "partial contains 18S rRNA, ITS1, 5.8S rRNA". The record is from RNAcentral. Lineage: Eukaryota; Fungi.